UACGGAGGGUGCAAGCGUUAUCCGGAUUCACUGGGUUAAAGGGUGCGUAGGUGGGUUGUAAGUCAGUGGUGAAGCCCAUCGCUCAACGGUGGAACGGCCAUUGAUACUGCCAGACUUGAAUUAUUAGGAAGUAACUAGAAUAUGUAGUGUAGCGGUGAAAUGCUUAGAUAUUACAUGGAAUACCGAUUGCGAAGGCAGGUUACUACCGGUGGAUUGACGCUGAUGGACGAAAGCGUGGGUAGCGAACAGG
Molecule: ribosomal RNA, 250 nt
Filed under: uncultured bacterium
Lineage: Bacteria
Description: partial 16S ribosomal RNA
Rfam family: Bacterial small subunit ribosomal RNA
Source: RNAcentral